RNAcentral lists this long non-coding RNA (515 nucleotides) under Homo sapiens (human). Its description in RNAcentral is "long non-coding RNA NONHSAT175248". Lineage: Eukaryota; Metazoa; Chordata; Mammalia; Primates; Hominidae. The record is from RNAcentral.
AAGUUCAUCAUCUUUAGACUUAAGGAAUUAACAAGGGUCAGGGAGACUACACCAGGCUGAGGGCUUCUUGGUUCCUGGAGACAUGCCCAGCUACAGCAAACACAGGGAAACACGAAGGGGGCAGCUGGAAGAUUUGGUCUUGAACUUGGGGGGUGGGUAAGUGAUGAUCCCCACGACUGGAGCAGCAGGAAGAAGUUGUGUCUGAGGAAGUGCUGGGCCGCCCAGAGGGACAGCCCUGCCCUGGAGCUUGUCGCCGGGAGGGAAGGGAAACAAGCCCCCUCCCUCAGUGCUGAGGAAAAGGCACUUGGCUGGGUCUCCUCCUGCCCUCUCCCCAUCCGUGGGAGAGACGGGGUCCUUGCCUCCUUGCCCCUUUCAGCCGCCCAGAAGCCGGUCCUGGUUCAGCCUCUGGAAGAAGCUUUUGCCGAACUCAUAGGUGCUGAUCAUGAUGGCACAGGAGGGGGCAGCCUUGAUGAUCCGAGGAAGGAAGCCUGCAGUGCAAAGAGUCCCUUGGUGCC